Molecule: ribosomal RNA, 253 nt
Filed under: uncultured bacterium
Lineage: Bacteria
Description: partial 16S ribosomal RNA
Rfam family: Bacterial small subunit ribosomal RNA
Source: RNAcentral
UACAGAGGGUGCAAGCGUUAAUCGGAUUUACUGGGCGUAAAGCGUGCGUAGGCGGUUCAUUAAGUCGGUUGUGAAAUCCCUGGGCUUAACCUGGGAACUGCAGUCGAUACUGGUGAACUAGAAUGCGGUAGAGGGUGGCGGAACUCCGGGUGUAGCGGUGAAAUGCGUAGAUAUCCGGAAGAACACCGAUGGCGAAGGCAACCACCUGGGCCUGCAUUGACGCUGAGGCGCGAAAGCUAGGGUAGCAAACGGG